RNAcentral lists this ribosomal RNA (106 nucleotides) under Pogona vitticeps (central bearded dragon). Lineage: Eukaryota; Metazoa; Chordata; Lepidosauria; Squamata; Agamidae. The record is from RNAcentral.
AAAGCAACUUUAAAUGCAUCUGAUCUUGUCUGUUUUCUGAAGCUAAGCAUGAGUGGAUCUGGUUACGGCUUGGAUGGGAAACCGCCAAGGACUUCCAGGAUCUUUA